Long non-coding RNA from Canis lupus familiaris (dog), 1334 nucleotides. RefSeq lists it as uncharacterized. The record is from RefSeq and is a predicted model, not a curated record. The transcript is spliced from 4 exons. Lineage: Eukaryota; Metazoa; Chordata; Mammalia; Carnivora; Canidae.
CUGUAAGGGCACGAGCCAAGAAUCUCUGAAAAAGGGUUAGUUUAUUAAAUGAAUAUUUAUUGAGAACCUACAAAAUGCCCUGGAGAUACACCAGCGGGAGAGCUUAAAUCCAGGAAGGGGAGAUAAUUUAAUAGCCCUUUCUCCCUGACACAUGACUCCACCAGAGACCACUUCCUGGAGGUGAGUUCCUUGAGAUGACAAACCAUGUCUGAUUCUUCUCUGCAUCCCUGCUGCUUUCGUUACAGAGUUGGGCAGGCACACAUAACAGAUAACUGGAUUCUUCUAUGGGCUUAAUCAUCUUGCUGCUCUUGCCUGGAGUUCCUCUCAUUGCUCUUCAUUUGUUCUGAAAAGAGAUGCCUCAAACUGAACCCUGCACUCUGCCUCGUGGUUGGUCUGAAGAGGACUGCAGGACUGUUGGUGCUGAGGAUGCCCAGGCAAAGGCAGGACAUGCCAGCCUCCUGUUCUCCAUCCUGACCAUGAUUCCAUUUCCUAGCACGAGUUGCCUUCUUACUGAAAUUUGAUGCUCACGCUUACUCAGUAAUUUGGACUUGCUCCUUGGGAAGAUUAGAAGGAUCCCUAGCUACAGGAAUAUUCUCAAUCUGGUUGAGGACUGAUGGUUUUUGGAUACUUGAAAACAAUUCAUACUGACAUAUUUUGGUCAGACAGUCAGCAGCAUUACUUGUCUUAGACCUGCCACCAUACGAAUGCUCUCAUACCCUAUCAUGCUUCUAGUAGAUUGAAUUCAGCUCAGAUCCUGCUUUUAUCUGAGCUUAACUUCCUAGUUAUUUUAUUUAUUCAUACUUUUAAGGAAAUAGGUUUGUCAACUGCUGGAUAGUACAUAAAUUACUAUAUGUGGAAUACAGGGCAGUGUAAGAUAAUACAGGAUAGUUCUGGAGGAUGUCCAACAAAUCAAUGUCUUAGACUCCGAAACUUCCUCCCUGGGUGCAAAAGCCCUCCUAUACAAUUUCCUUGCUUUGUGGUAUAUUCAUGUAGAUUAAAAGAGAUGGCCUCACCUGUUACAGGGGCAAUUUGGCAAUUUCCAAUGCAAUUGUUUAUAAAUGCUUCUAGAGUGAUUUUUCCAAUCUUGACAAACACUCUCUCAAGCCAGAGGAAACUUCAUAAUUUCUAGUGAAGAGGUUAUGAAUUAUUAAAUCUCACUAAUUCUUCACUUAACUGCCACCUUUAUAUAGAAAACAUGAUCUGGGUUAAAUCCUACAGAUAGAGGGAACAUGCACCUGGGGUUAAUCUAACCAGCAAGUGGAUGCUCCACUGCCUCAAUCAAAUUUAGAUCAAUAUUAUUUAUCCAUCAGCCCUUGAAAUAGAACAUGGGCUCU